GUUGAUCCUGCGGGAGGUUGCUGCUAUGAGGAUUCGACUAAGCCAUGCAAGUCUGAUAUUUAUUUAUCGGCAGAAUGCUCAGUAACACGUCGCUAAUUUGCCCUGUGGUCGUUGAUAACUUCGGGAAACUGAGGGUAAACAACGGUAGAAGAAUCUGCCUGGAAUGGUAUUUCUUCAAAACUCGCGCCGCAGGAUAAGACGGCGGCCGAUUAGGUUGAUGGUGGUGUAAUGGACCACCAUGCCGAUGAUCGGUACGGGCCUUGAGAGAGGUAGCCCGGAGAGGGACACUGAGAAACUGGUCCCAGCCCUACGGGGUGCAGCAGGCGCGAAACCUUUACAAUGCACGCAAGUGUGAUAAGGGAAUCCUCAGUGCUCAUACAUUGUAUGGGCUUUUGUUAAACGUAAAUAGUUUAGCGAAUAAGUGGUGGGUAAGACUGGUGCCAGCCGCCGCGGUAACACCAGCGCCACGAGUGGCAACCACGUUUAUUGGGCCUAAAGCGUCCGUAGCCGGUUAGGUAAAUCUCUUGUGAAAUCGUCACGCUUAACGUGACGGCGUGCUCGAGACACUGCCUAACUCGAGACCGGGAGGAGUCAGAGGUAUUCCAGGGGGAGCGGUAAAAUGUGAUAAUCCCUGGAGGAUCACCUAUGGCGAAGGCAUCUGACCAGAACGGAUCUGACGGUGAGGGACGAAGGCUAGGGGAGCGAUCCGGAUUAGAUACCCGAGUAGUCCUAGCAGUAAACGCUGCGAGCAAGAUGUUGCGCUUCUUAAGAGGAUGCGCAGUGCCGAAGAGAAGUCGUUAAGCUCGCCGCCUGGGAAGUACGGUCGCAAGACUGAAACUUUAAGGAAUUGGCGGGGGAGCACCACCAGGGGUGCGGCGUGCGGUUUAAUCUAACUCAACACAGAGAACCUUACUAGAAGCGACGGCAGGAAGAAGGCCAGCCUGAAGGGCUUGCCUGACGAGCCGAGAGGUAGUGCAUGGCCGCCGUCAGCUCGUGCCGUAAGGUGUCCAGUUAAGUCUGGCAACGAGCGAGACCUAUACCCUCUAUUGCUAACGGCCACAUGUGGGACCGAGCACUUUGAGGGGACUGCCUUGGAAACAAGGAGGAAGGUGUAGGCAACGGUGGUCUGUAUGCUCCGAAUCUUCUAGGCUACACGCGCGCAACAAUGGUAAUGACAAUGGGCUGCAACUCCGAAAGGAGAAGCUAAUCCUCUAAACAUUACCUCAGUUCGGAUCGCGGAUUGUAACUCAUCCGCGUGACGCCGGAAUCCCUAGUAACCAGAGUUCAUCAAAUUCUGGUGAAUAUGUCCCUGCUCCUUGCACACACCGCCCGUCAAAUCAACCGAGCAGGAUUUUGGUAAAAUUUACUUUCUUGAGUAAAUUGAACCUGAGUUCAGUGAGGCGGAUUAAGUCGUCACAAGGUA
RNAcentral lists this ribosomal RNA (1423 nucleotides) under metagenome. RNAcentral's name for it is "bacterial SSU rRNA". It matches the Rfam family "Archaeal small subunit ribosomal RNA". The record is from RNAcentral.